AUGGAAUCAUUUCCCACUUUAAUACACAGCACACAUGAUGGUUGGAGAUUGAGCAUCCAUUGUGGAACCCGGAUUCAUCUCAAGGACAGAAGCCACCUGCGUCCAUGCUUUCUGGGUUUUCCCCAAGUCUCCAUGUCCAGUGUGGGACCUCAAACCCAUGACCCCAAGAUCAACUCAUAUGUUCCUCCAACUGAGCUGGUGAGGUGCCCCACCAGAGAUUUUCUAAAAAGCAAAAGUAAUAUGGAGGAAUCUACCUUACCAGAUUUUAAAUGUGUUAAAAAUAAAUAGUAUACAUAAGAAACAAAAUGAUGAUGAUGAAGAUAGCACUUUUUGAAUGUUGACUAAUUAUCUCAAUCCCAUGAAGGGUUCUGUUAUUAUCUCCAUAUUACCAAAGAUGAAAGAACGUGCAGAUGACCAAUAAUUUGGCCGAGUUCAUAUAGUUGUCAAGUAAUUGAACUGAGAGUCCACCCCAGGUAGCCUGUGUCUUGGAGAGAACAGAAAAUCUGGAAGGAGUAGUAUUCUUUAGAAUGUGUUAUGUGCUAAUGAUUUCAUCUGCAUUAGAAAGCAUGGGAGAACGGGAGAGAGGCAGUCCUUAUUCACAAAGGGCACAGGUCAGCCACAUUUUGGCACUAUCUUUUGUUGGAAGAUCAAAGCUCUAUUAAAAGUGCAGCUUAUGAAGUGUUUCUCCCGAUUUAGAAAGCUUAGAAAUAGUUCUGUGCUGAAGUUAAGAACAUAAGUUUCCUUGUCUGUUAUUGGUGCAGGGCCUCUGGAAGGUGUUUUAAUAUUCACUGGACCUAUUUCCUGAUCAAUAACAAGGGAACAUAGUCUUAGUUCGGGUGUGGGGGUGGGAGGCUCAUAUAAUAAUAUCUUCCUUGGGACAUACUGAGUGUUCAGCAAAUGGCAACCAAAAAAAGUAACUGAUGUUAUAUUAGUGAAUUAGGAUCGUGUAAUUUGUUGAAUUACAUUUGAAUUUAAUUCAAUAAUGUAGAUUUACAUUUUAGGUUCCACUGACUUUUUUAAAAUUAAAAAAAAUUUUUUUUAAUGUUUAUUUAUUUUUGAGACAGAGAGAGACAGAGCAUGAAUAGGGGAGGGUCAGAGAGAGGGAGACACAGAAUCUGAAGCAGGCUCCAGGCUCUGAGCUGUCAGCACAGAGCCCGACGCGGGGCUUGAACUCACAGACUGUGAGAUCAUGACCUGAGCCGGAGUCGGAAGCUCAACCGACUGAGCCACCCAGGCACCCCUCCAUUGACUUUUUAAUUCAUUGGAGAGCAAUCAGGAAUAUUUUCAUUGAGCGUCUAGUGGGUCCUAGAGAAAAAGACUAACAGCACUAACAGCAAGAUUUCACUGUAAAUGCGAGGGUAUGCUGUAGCAAAUCCCUAAUUCCCCCUGUGUUCACCCAUAUCAGGGAUGCUCCAGCCUCACUGUACAGUUGACUCUUGAACACGUGGGGUUAGGGACACCAGCCACAUGCAGUUGAAAAUCCAUGUAUGAGCUUUUGAUGAGGGAAACAAAGGCAAGAGAAAUGUGGCAUAAAUUAAAUCUCCUUACAGCUUGCAGCCCAAUGACAGACACCUGAAAUACGCAGAGCGUCACCUUCCUCGAGGAACUCAUGGCUGCCUUACUUCCUCAAUGUUCUUGUUUUAUCAAAGACUAAAAGUAACCUCAUCUUAACAGCAGCUCGCCCCUCAAGGUCCCGAAAGCCUUGCUUCUAAAUCCCGUAGAGUCUUACGCUAUCCCUAACCCUCACUUAAAAGUAUAUAAUCAGUCACUCCUCACAACCCCAGUGCAGCUUUCUGUCCAUGGGUCCUGUCCUGUGCUUUAAUAAAAUCACCUUUUUGCACCA
Molecule: long non-coding RNA, 1843 nt
Filed under: Felis catus (domestic cat)
Lineage: Eukaryota; Metazoa; Chordata; Mammalia; Carnivora; Felidae
Description: lncRNA (ENSFCAG00000049582.1)
Source: RNAcentral